GAUGAACGCUGGCGGCGUGCCUAAUACAUGCAAGUCGAGCGAACAGACGAGGAGCUUGCUCCUCUGACGUUAGCGGCGGACGGGUGAGUAACACGUGGAUAACCUACCUAUAAGACUGGGAUAACUUCGGGAAACCGGAGCUAAUACCGGAUAAUAUAUUGAACCGCAUGGUUCAAUAGUGAAAGACGGUUUUGCUGUCACUUAUAGAUGGAUCCGCGCCGCAUUAGCUAGUUGGUAAGGUAACGGCUUACCAAGGCAACGAUGCGUAGCCGACCUGAGAGGGUGGUCGCCCACACUGGAACUGAGCCAGGGACCAGACUCCUACGGGGGGCACAAGUGGGGAACUUUCGCCAAUGGGCGAAGGCCUGACGGAGCAAGGCGGCGUGGGUGAUGAAGGUCUUCGGUUCGUAAAACUCUUUUAUUGGGAAAGAACAAAUGUGAAAGUAAAUAUCCCCGUUUUGACGGUACCUAAUCAAAAAGCAACGGCUAACUCCGUG
RNAcentral lists this ribosomal RNA (497 nucleotides) under uncultured bacterium. RNAcentral's name for it is "partial 16S ribosomal RNA". It matches the Rfam family "Bacterial small subunit ribosomal RNA", at positions 28 to 507 of the family's 1533-position model. The record is from RNAcentral.